RNAcentral lists this small nuclear RNA (152 nucleotides) under Erinaceus europaeus (western European hedgehog). RNAcentral's name for it is "U2 spliceosomal RNA". It matches the Rfam family "U2 spliceosomal RNA". From Rfam's summary of the family: U2 is a small nuclear RNA (snRNA) component of the spliceosome (involved in pre-mRNA splicing). Complementary binding between U2 snRNA (in an area lying towards the 5' end but 3' to hairpin I) and the branchpoint sequence (BPS) of the intron results the bulging out of an unpaired adenosine, on the BPS, which initiates a nucleophilic attack at the intronic 5' splice site, thus starting the first of two transesterification reactions that mediate splicing. The record is from Rfam by way of RNAcentral. Lineage: Eukaryota; Metazoa; Chordata; Mammalia; Eulipotyphla; Erinaceidae.
AUCGCUUCUCAGCCUUUUGGCUAAGAUCAAGUGUAGUAAGAUUUCAAAUCAGUCUCAUUUGCUCUCGGUAAUGUUGCUUACAAUAGUGCAUGCCAAUUUCAGUGGCUUCUUAAAAUUGAAUAAAUACAAUUAAUCAUUUUUUGGGAUUAAAA